GAGUACAUUCAAUAAAUUUGGAGCUAUUGCACCAAAGACUGGGACACGUAUCUGGUAUAGUAAUGAAUAAGAUGCAACCUAUCAGUAUAUAGAAUAUUAGAGAAAAAAUAGAUAGUUGCACAAUCUGUCCUUGUGCCAAACAAACUAGAUUACAAUUUCCUUUUAGUGAUAUCAUAAGCAUGUAUUAUUUUGAUUUGAUUCAUGUAGACCUAUGGGGUCUUUA
RNAcentral lists this long non-coding RNA (223 nucleotides) under Nicotiana benthamiana. RNAcentral's name for it is "long non-coding RNA (NBEN_LNC026362)". The record is from RNAcentral. Lineage: Eukaryota; Viridiplantae; Streptophyta; Magnoliopsida; Solanales; Solanaceae.